This is a non-coding RNA of Vicia faba (fava bean), 261 nucleotides long. NCBI's taxonomy places the organism in Eukaryota, Viridiplantae, Streptophyta, Magnoliopsida, Fabales, Fabaceae. The record is from the annotation of a GenBank genome assembly.
AUGUUCUUUUUUAUUUACGUUGAAGUCAUUUUAUUGAAAUUUGCUAUUGUUUUAUGCAUUUUGUUGAUGUGGUGUUUAUUUGAAACUGUAAAUUUGCUUGAGAUUUAUUUGGGCUGUUUAUUUCUUUGUCAUUCAUCAAUGUCCCACUUGUUUUCAUGUUUUUUUAUCAUGUAUUUUGUCAAUACUUUACUUGGUUUCUUGCUAUUUCUCACUGAUUUGUCAAUGCAGUUUUUGUCUAUAUCUAACUUGUCUCCAUUUUAA